RNAcentral lists this unclassified non-coding RNA (336 nucleotides) under soil metagenome. RNAcentral's name for it is "partial contains 5.8S ribosomal RNA, internal transcribed spacer 2, and large subunit ribosomal RNA". The stretch from base 1 to 119 matches the Rfam family "5.8S ribosomal RNA", at positions 35 to 154 of the family's 154-position model. The record is from RNAcentral.
GAUGAAGAACGUAGCGAAAUGCGAUAAGUAGUGUGAAUUGCAGAAUUCAGUGAAUCAUCGAAUCUUGAACGCACAUUGCGCCCCAUGGUAUUCCGUGGGGCAUGCCUGUUCGAGCGUCAUUUACCCCCUCAAGCUCCGCUUGGUGUUGGGCGUCUGUCCCGCUUCGCGCGCGGACUCGCCCCAAAGGUAUUGGCAGCGGUCGUGCCAGCUUCUCGCGCAGCACAUUGCGCUUCUCGAGGCACCGGUGGGCCCGCGUCCAUCAAGCUCACCCCCCCAGUUUGACCUCGGAUCAGGUAGGGAUACCCGCUGAACUUAAGCAUAUCAAUAAGCGGAGGA